ACUCCUACGGGAGGCAGCAGUGAGGAAUAUUGGACAAUGGGUGGAAGCCUGAUCCAGCCAUCCCGCGUGCAGGAAGACGGCCCUAUGGGUUGUAAACUGCUUUUAUCUGGGGAUAAACCUACUUACGUGUAAGUAGCUGAAGGUACCAGAAGAAUAAGCACCGGCUAACUCCGUGCCAGCAGCCGCGGUAAUACGGAGGGUGCAAGCGUUAUCCGGAUUUAUUGGGUUUAAAGGGUCCGUAGGCGGACUGAUAAGUCAGUGGUGAAAUCCGACAGCUUAACUGUCGAACUGCCAUUGAUACUGUUAGUCUUGAGUAAGGUUGAAGUGGCUGGAAUAAGUAGUGUAGCGGUGGAAUGCAUAGAUAUUACUUAGAACACCAAUUGCGAAGGCAGGUCACUAAGUCUUAACUGACGCUGAUGGACGAAAGCGUGGGGAGCGAACAGGGUUAGAUACCCUAGUAGUCCCA
This 466-nucleotide ribosomal RNA is filed under the name uncultured organism. Its description in RNAcentral is "partial 16S ribosomal RNA". It matches the Rfam family "Bacterial small subunit ribosomal RNA", at positions 335 to 797 of the family's 1533-position model. The record is from RNAcentral.